ACCACCACCACCCUGCGUACGGACCUGUGCUACGUCGAAUACAUAAUCCGACUAUAUCGGUCAGCGUAAGUCUGUUUUAACAUUUAUUUGCAAACGUAAUUACUUUCAUUUAUAAUAAUUUUAUAAUAAAGACUAUAAAAUUAUGCAUAACACUGGCUCUUGAAAAUGUUUAGUAAAAUCUUUACUCAGGAAUCUGUACGUUUAAAGUUUAUUUAUUUAUAAUUCAAUUAAUUGGAAUCUGGAUAAUUACGUUGUGUUUUGUUAUUACAUUGUUUAUUUCAUUAUAUGCAGAGUAAUCAUUUAUAAUGCUUAAUAGACAGAAGGCCACAAAGGCGCUAGAUUAGUACAUAAUUAUGAUAAUAAUAAUAAUUAUUAUUAUUAUUAUUAUUAUAAGUCUGUGUCGUCUUAAAAGACGAACGAAGGUUAAAAGCGAUAAUAUGACUGGUCGGUUCCUGAACAGUCAUACCUGGGAUUUGAUUGGCUUAGAGAUAACAACAGGAAAAAACGCGCCAUUUGCAGUUUGCUAAAAUAAAUUUAAUAAUAAAUAAUGACAAAACAUUGUGUAUUUUGCACUAUGAAUUGGAUUUGAGAUCAUUUUGAUUGAGCAGAAACAAUCACAGUUUAUUACCGAAUACUUGGCUAUGGCGGAAAAUGAAGAACUUCGGUCAAGUUUCGGAUGUCCUACUAUUUUCGUCACGUUUGGAAGGGAAAAAAGAAAAAUCGUCAGCACAUUCUGGUCAUCAUAUUAUGGAAAUAUUUGUGACUGAAUCCCAUCUGAAUGUUGGAUGACAUAUAUCAAGAUGACACUGAACAGGACAUAACUGAGGAAAAUGGAUGUGAGAGAAUCCAAUCUAACAGUUGGAAAUAAAUAUAUGUACUAUUUAUAAAAUAUUUGUUUGCAUAUACUGUUCAGAUAUAUUAGUGAGUCAGAAUGAAACAUCACUUUGUUUGUUAAGACUAUUGUGCUUCAAUUUUUAUGUUUUGUGGACAGCUAGUUUACAGAUAGGGUGUGUAAGCAGUGGCAUUAAUACAGCAAUUGCCCGAGAAUAUUGAAAUUUGGCCUCCAAGGACAGAUUGCUACCUAUUUAGUUCAUCACAGACUACUGGAUGUAAAAAAUUAAAUUGAUAAUAAUUCUGACCCAUAGUCUUAAGAGGAAGCUCUCUACAUGUUUCAAAAGCAGCAAGUCAUCUUUCAUAAUUAUGAUCUUUCCUUGGACAGGACCUAA
Long non-coding RNA from Gigantopelta aegis, 1226 nucleotides. RefSeq lists it as uncharacterized. Lineage: Eukaryota; Metazoa; Mollusca; Gastropoda; Neomphalida; Peltospiridae. The transcript has 3 exons. The record is from RefSeq and is a predicted model, not a curated record.